RNAcentral lists this transfer RNA (74 nucleotides) under Dehalococcoidia bacterium. RNAcentral's name for it is "tRNA-Gln". It matches the Rfam family "tRNA". Rfam says of the family: Transfer RNA (tRNA) molecules are approximately 80 nucleotides in length. The record is from RNAcentral. Lineage: Bacteria; Bacillati; Chloroflexota; Dehalococcoidia.
UGCCGGGUGGUGUAACGGUAGCACAGGGGACUUUGAAUCCCUUAGUCAAGGUUCGAAUCCUUGCCCGGCAACCA